CCUACGUGGGGCAGCAGUGAGGAAUAUUGGUCAAUGGGCGCGAGCCUGAACCAGCCAAGUAGCGUGAAGGAUGACUGCCCUACGGGUUGUAAACUUCUUUUAUAAAGGAAUAAAGUGAGGCACGUGUGCCUUUUUGUAUGUACUUUAUGAAUAAGGAUCGGCUCACUCCGUGCCAGCAGCCGCGGUAAUACGGAGGAUCCGAGCGUUAUCCGGAUUUAUUGGGUUUAAAGGGAGCGUAGAUGGGUUGUUAAGUCAGUUGUGAAAGUUUGGGGCUCAACCGUAAAAUUGCAUUUGAUACUGGCAGUCUUGAGUACAGUUGAGGUAGGCGGAAUUCGGGGUGUAGCGGUGAAAUGCUUAGAUAUCACGAAGAACUCCGAUUGCGAAGGCAGCUUACUAGACUGCCACUGACAUUGAUGCUCGAAAGUGUGGGUAUCAAACAGGAUUAGAUACCCCAGUAGUC
This 460-nucleotide ribosomal RNA is filed under the name uncultured bacterium. RNAcentral describes it as "partial 16S ribosomal RNA". It matches the Rfam family "Bacterial small subunit ribosomal RNA", at positions 338 to 795 of the family's 1533-position model. The record is from RNAcentral.